RNAcentral lists this ribosomal RNA (253 nucleotides) under uncultured bacterium. RNAcentral's name for it is "partial 16S ribosomal RNA". It matches the Rfam family "Bacterial small subunit ribosomal RNA", at positions 524 to 776 of the family's 1533-position model. The record is from RNAcentral.
CACGGGGGGAGCAAGCGUUGUUCGGAAUCACUGGGCGUAAAUGGCGUGUAGGCGGUCAGGUAAGUGGGAUGUGAAAUGCCCCGGCUCACCCGGGGACCGGCAUCCCAUACUGCUUGGCUUGAGUACGGGAGAGGAUGUGGGAAUUCCUGGUGUAGCGGUGAAAUGCGUAGAUAUCAGGAGGAACACCGGUGGCGAAGGCGCACAUCUGGCCCGAUACUGACGCUGAGGCGCGAAAGCUAGGGGAGCAAACGGG